AUUGAACGCUGGCGGCAGGCCUAACACAUGCAAGUCGAACGGUAACAGGAAACAGCUUGCUGUUUCGCUGACGAGUGGCGGACGGGUGAGUAAUGUCUGGGAAACUGCCUGAUGGAGGGGGAUAACUACUGGAAACGGUAGCUAAUACCGCAUAACGUCGCAAGACCAAAGAGGGGGACCUUCGGGCCUCUUGCCAGCGGAUGUGCCCAGAGGGGAUUAGCUAGUAGGUGGGGUAACGGCCCACCUAGGCGACGAUCCCUAGCUGGUCUGAGAGGAUGACCAGCCACACUGGAACUGAGACACGGUCCAGACUCCUACGGGAGGCAGCAGUGGGGAAUAUUGCACAAUGGGCGCAAGCCUGAUGCAGCCAUGUCGCGUGUAUGAAGAAGGCCUUCGGGUUGUAAAGUACUUUCAGCGGGGAGGAAGGGAGUAAAGUUAAUACCUUUGCUCAUUGACGUUACCCGCAGAAGAAGCACCGGCUAACUCCGUGCCAGCAGCCGCCGUAA
RNAcentral lists this ribosomal RNA (506 nucleotides) under uncultured bacterium. RNAcentral describes it as "partial 16S ribosomal RNA". It matches the Rfam family "Bacterial small subunit ribosomal RNA", at positions 30 to 523 of the family's 1533-position model. The record is from RNAcentral.